This 379-nucleotide long non-coding RNA is filed under the name Zostera marina. Its description in RNAcentral is "long non-coding RNA (ZMAR_LNC002553)". Lineage: Eukaryota; Viridiplantae; Streptophyta; Magnoliopsida; Alismatales; Zosteraceae. The record is from RNAcentral.
UCGUGUACGAAGAAAAUCCCAAAUCACACAGCAUGAACAGCAACGAAUACUCCUACGGAAUCGUCGUUGUAGGAGAGCCACCUUACGCCGAGACUUUUGGAGACAGCGCGAAUCUCACGAUCCCUGAGCCAGGACCGAGUGUGAUCAAGAAUGUAUGCGGAAAGAUGAAAUGCGUCGUUGUUUUGAUCUCCGGUAGACCGUUGGUCAUCAAACCAUACAUGAAGAAGAUCAAUGCACUCGUUGCCGCUUGGUUACCUGGAACUGAAGGUCAAGGCGUGGCCGAUGUAUUGUUCGGAGACUAUGGAUUCUCUGGUAAGCUUUCUCGAACUUGGUUCAAGUCCGUCGAUCAGUUGCCGAUGAACGUCGGAGAUAAACAUUA